Long non-coding RNA from Homo sapiens (human), 1564 nucleotides. Lineage: Eukaryota; Metazoa; Chordata; Mammalia; Primates; Hominidae. The record is from Ensembl.
GUGCGUGCGUUCGGCGCGCGGGGCGUGGGCGCGGCACCUGGGCCCGGGCACCGCCACCUAGGCCCUAGCUCCGACCAGUGGUGUUCUAUAAACGCUUAUUACAUCAUUGUGCAUAGGCUUCAUUUUUAAAAGUACUCCCAAAUAAAUACAAGGAGGCGAUGGAAAUUGAAUGAAGAUUCGAAGGAUUCCCAUAGAGCGUGGCUCACUUCCCCUCACCGGGACAGCGAGCGGCGGCUCACCUGGGAGAGCAAAGCGUGGCUCUCCUGCGCCCACCCGGGAGAGCAAACAAUGGCUCACCUGCGCCCACCCGGGAGAGCAAGCGUGGCUCACCUGCGCCCACUCGGGAAAGCCAGCCGCCAUCCUGUGCUGCAGGCAGGGAGCGGGCGGCGGGAGAGGAGCGGAUCCACUUAGGUCAGCGGUUAAAACGUCGUUACAAGAGGCCACCCCGGCAUCGCGGGGCCUGUGGCUGCGCCCCCUCUUGAAUUCAGGCCUAGCACAUCACCUCCGCCCCUCGCACCCUGCAGUCUGCGCUCCAUACAGCACGUGAGCGGGUGCUCAGCAAUGUUCCCUGGCUGAAAGAACCGCAUAGAGUAGCAUGCAAAAAUGACAUGCAUGUUUAAGAUAAAAUAAGGGAGAGGACACCUGUUCUGACUGAGUCUGGCAACUCAGAUCUCCCCGCAGCCAACAUCUACAUUCCUUUGGACAGCUGUCUGCUGUGUAGGGACACCUCCCUGGAACUUUGAAAAGCACCCCAUCAUUACCUUCCACUUUGUUCUGGAGCAAGGUUUCAAAAGAAGAGUGCCGUAUUUUGAUUAAUUUAGUGAAUUGGAUUUUCAGACACAAGUAAGAGCAUCCACUCAGUGGCCUCUGCAGUAAAUAAUGAUAUCAGAUCACAUAACAAGAAGACUGGAGGUUGGCGGGAAAUCUGGACCUGGUGACUCAAAGAAGUCAUGAAGGACCAUCUCUCCAUUCUGCCACCUUCUCGCCUGUGGAUUUUCCUCCCCAGGCUUGUCACUUCAUUGUCGAGAGAUGCCCUCACAAUCCAAGCCAGGCAGCCUCACAUGACCAGAUCUAAAACACAAAGAGGGAGCCAAACUGAGAAAGGACCUUUUCCCUCUGAACACUUCUCUCUUGGAAAAAGAAAAUGUUUCCCAGAAAGCCUCAUAGCCUUCCUCUUAUAUCUCCUUGACUAACUGGGACCCGGAUCCCUGGAUAUCCUUUCCUGAGAAAGAGAGGGUCUGGGGCAGGGGAUAGAGAAAAUGACUAGCAACUAGCAGCACAUGAUGUUUAAACAUAAGAUUUAAAGAAAUGCAAGGCACAAACAAUUUGAAGACUUUUUUUAAGUUUUUAAAAUCUUCACAAAAUAAAAAGGAAUUGGACAAUGCACUUUAAAAACUAGAAGACGUUUCACUGAAAACAGCAUCUCCUAAUUCAUUUCAUGGCUUAGAUAGUAAUAGAAAAUUAUUUUAUUCUAAUUCCAUACUUUAUCAACUAAUUUUAAUUAUUUUAUAAUUACCCAAAAUAUGUCAUGUAGAAUGAAAAUAAAAGAAAAUGAAAACAGUUA